UUUUAAAUUUAGAGUUUGAUCCUGGCUCAGGACGAACGCUGGCGGCGUGCUUAACACAUGCAAGUCGAGCGAUGAAACUUCCUUCGGGGAGUGGAUUAGCGGCGGACGGGUGAGUAACACGUGGGUAACCUGCCUCAAAGUGGGGGAUAGCCUUCCGAAAGGAAGAUUAAUACCGCAUAAUAUAAGAGAAUCGCAUGAUUUUCUUAUCAAAGAUUUAUUGCUUUGAGAUGGACCCGCGGCGCAUUAGCUAGUUGGUAAGGUAACGGCUUACCAAGGCAACGAUGCGUAGCCGACCUGAGAGGGUGAUCGGCCACAUUGGAACUGAGACACGGUCCAGACUCCUACG
Molecule: ribosomal RNA, 346 nt
Filed under: Clostridium botulinum
Lineage: Bacteria; Bacillati; Bacillota; Clostridia; Eubacteriales; Clostridiaceae
Description: bacterial SSU rRNA
Rfam family: Bacterial small subunit ribosomal RNA
Source: RNAcentral